GAUGAACGCUAGCUACAGGCUUAACACAUGCAAGUCGAGGGGAAACGAUAUUGGAAGCUUGCUUCCGAUAGGCGUCGACCGGCGCACGGGUGAGUAACGCGUAUCCAACCUGCCCACCACUUGGGGAUAACCUUGCGAAAGUAAGACUAAUACCCAAUGAUAUCUCAAGAAGACAUCUGAAUGAGAUUAAAGAGUUAUCGGUGAUGGAUGGGGAUGCGUCUGAUUAGCUUGUUGGCGGGGUAACGGCCCACCAAGGCGACGAUCAGUAGGGGUUCUGAGAGGAAGGUCCCCCACAUUGGAACUGAGACACGGUCCAAACUCCUACGGGAGGCAGCAGUGAGGAAUAUUGGUCAAUGGGCGAGAGCCUGAACCAGCCAAGUAGCGUGCAGGAUGACGGCCCUAUGGGUUGUAAACUGCUUUUAUAAGGGAAUAAAGUGAGUCUCGUGAGACUUUUUGCAUGUACCUUAUGAAUAAGGACCGGCUAAUUCCGUGCCAGCCGCCGCCGUAA
Molecule: ribosomal RNA, 508 nt
Filed under: uncultured bacterium
Lineage: Bacteria
Description: partial 16S ribosomal RNA
Rfam family: Bacterial small subunit ribosomal RNA
Source: RNAcentral